CUCAAUUUGAAAUUCCGAUCCUC
Molecule: non-coding RNA, 23 nt
Filed under: Rattus norvegicus (Norway rat)
Lineage: Eukaryota; Metazoa; Chordata; Mammalia; Rodentia; Muridae
Source: RNAcentral